GCCUUCGUGGUGUAGUGGUCAGCACGCUCACGCGUAUUCGAGAGGUCCAUGGUUCGAGUCCCGGCGAGGGCA
Molecule: transfer RNA, 72 nt
Filed under: Stegodyphus mimosarum
Lineage: Eukaryota; Metazoa; Arthropoda; Arachnida; Araneae; Eresidae
Rfam family: tRNA
About the family: Transfer RNA (tRNA) molecules are approximately 80 nucleotides in length. Their secondary structure includes four short double-helical elements and three loops (D, anti-codon, and T loops).
Source: Rfam by way of RNAcentral